GGGGAAUUUUCCGCAAUGGGGGAAAGCCUGACGGAGCAACGCCGCGUGAGGGAGGAAGGUCUUUGGAUUGUAAACCUCUUUUCUCAAGGAAGAAGUUCUGACGGUACUUGAGGAAUCAGCCUCGGCUAACUCCGUGCCAGCAGCCGCGGUAAUACGGGGGAGGCAAGCGUUAUCCGGAAUUAUUGGGCGUAAAGCGUCCGCAGGUGGUCAGCCAAGUCUGCCGUCAAAUCAGGUUGCUUAACGACCUAAAGGCGGUGGAAACUGGCAGACUAGAGAGCAGUAGGGGUAGCAGGAAUUCCCAGUGUAGCGGUGAAAUGCGUAGAGAUUGGGAAGAACAUCGGUGGCGAAAGCGUGCUACUGGGCUGUAUCUGACACUCAGGGACGAAAGCUAGGGGAGCGAAAGGGAUUAGAUACCCCUGUAGUC
Molecule: ribosomal RNA, 424 nt
Filed under: uncultured cyanobacterium
Lineage: Bacteria; Bacillati; Cyanobacteriota
Description: bacterial SSU rRNA
Rfam family: Bacterial small subunit ribosomal RNA
Source: RNAcentral